This is a non-coding RNA of Lentinula aff. lateritia, 96 nucleotides long. The record is from the annotation of a GenBank genome assembly. NCBI's taxonomy places the organism in Eukaryota, Fungi, Basidiomycota, Agaricomycetes, Agaricales, Omphalotaceae.
UCCUUCUUAGCUCAGUUGGUAGAGCGCGUCACUAGUAAAGUGUUCCCUCACAAAUUAGUAAUGACGAGGUCAGUCGUUCAAGUCGGCUAGAAGGAA